AGAGUUUGAUCAUGGCUCAGAUUGAACGCUGGCGGCAGGCCUAACACAUGCAAGUCGAGCGGUAGCACAGAGAGCUUGCUCUCGGGUGACGAGCGGCGGACGGGUGAGUAAUGUCUGGGAAACUGCCUGAUGGAGGGGGAUAACUACUGGAAACGGUAGCUAAUACCGCAUAAUGUCGCAAGACCAAAGUGGGGGACCUUCGGGCCUCAUGCCAUCAGAUGUGCCCAGAUGGGAUUAGCUUGUAGGUGGGGUAACGGCUCACCUAGGCGACGAUCCCUAGCUGGUCUGAGAGGAUGACCAGCCACACUGGAACUGAGACACGGUCCAGACUCCUACGGGAGGCAGCAGUGGGGAAUAUUGCACAAUGGGCGCAAGCCUGAUGCAGCCAUGCCGCGUGUGUGAAGAAGGCCUUCGGGUUGUAAAGCACUUUCAGCGGGGAGGAAGGCGGUGAGGUUAAUAACCUCAUCGAUUGACGUUACCCGCAGAAGAAGCACCGGCUAACUCCGUGCCAGCAGCCGCGGUAAUACGGAGGGUGCAAGCGUUAAUCGGAAUUACUGGGCGUAAAGCGCACGCAGGCGGUCUGUCAAGUCGGAUGUGAAAUCCCCGGGCUUAACCUGGGAACUGCAUUCGAAACUGGCAGGCUAGAGUCUUGUAGAGGGGGGUAGAAUUCCAGGUGUAGCGGUGAAAUGCGUAGAGAUCUGGAGGAAUACCGGUGGCGAAGGCGGCCCCCUGGACAAAGACUGACGCUCAGGUGCGAAAGCGUGGGGAGCAAACAGGAUUAGAUACCCUGGUAGUCCACGCCGUAAACGAUGUCGAUUUGGAGGUUGUGCCCUUGAGGCGUGGCUUCCGGAGCUAACGCGUUAAAUCGACCGCCUGGGGAGUACGGCCGCAAGGUUAAAACUCAAAUGAAUUGACGGGGGCCCGCACAAGCGGUGGAGCAUGUGGUUUAAUUCGAUGCAACGCGAAGAACCUUACCUGGUCUUGACAUCCACAGAACUUUCCAGAGAUGGAUUGGUGCCUUCGGGAACUGUGAGACAGGUGCUGCAUGGCUGUCGUCAGCUCGUGUUGUGAAAUGUUGGGUUAAGUCCCGCAACGAGCGCAACCCUUAUCCUUUGUUGCCAGCGGUCCGGCCGGGAACUCAAAGGAGACUGCCAGUGAUAAACUGGAGGAAGGUGGGGAUGACGUCAAGUCAUCAUGGCCCUUACGACCAGGGCUACACACGUGCUACAAUGGCAUAUACAAAGAGAAGCGACCUCGCGAGAGCAAGCGGACCUCAUAAAGUAUGUCGUAGUCCGGAUUGGAGUCUGCAACUCGACUCCAUGAAGUCGGAAUCGCUAGUAAUCGUAGAUCAGAAUGCUACGGUGAAUACGUUCCCGGGCCUUGUACACACCGCCCGUCACACCAUGGGAGUGGGUUGCAAAAGAAGUAGGUAGCUUAACCUUCGGGAGGGCGCUUACCACUUUGUGAUUCAUGACUGGGGUGAAGUCGUAACAAGGUAACCGUAGGGGAACCUGCGGUUG
RNAcentral lists this ribosomal RNA (1520 nucleotides) under Klebsiella pneumoniae. RNAcentral's name for it is "bacterial SSU rRNA". It matches the Rfam family "Bacterial small subunit ribosomal RNA". Lineage: Bacteria; Pseudomonadati; Pseudomonadota; Gammaproteobacteria; Enterobacterales; Enterobacteriaceae. The record is from RNAcentral.